UGGUCGGGCUGGGAUCGGAGUCGUCGACAUAUUUUCAUGCCUUUGAUAACUUUCAUUCCCUGGAUACGUAAAAUCUUGUUUUUCCAGUAGAAGAUUAAGCAGUUAAAUGUACAAUUCAUUGUGGCUAUAGUGUGAGCCCAGCGCCCUACAAGGCUUGAAUUAUCUAAAGUAAAUGCUUUAUCUUUGGAGGUUAUUCUUAGCCCAACGUAGACGAAUGCUGGAAUGGACAGAACCACAAAACACGCGACUGCUAGUAAGCAACUUGAUAUAUUUUUCAAAGAAAACGUGUUUUUCAUCGAUCUGGAUUCGUUUUCCGUUGUUUCUACGACUUUUCCUGGCGAUUGUGAAUAACUUGUAGUUGAUGAACAACAUUGGAGGAGAUAGAAUAAUAAAGCAAAUUAGUAAAAGAACUGUGGGGGAAUUUACGAAGUUGUUUACAGAUAAAAACACCAACGUGACUUCGAUUAUACUUAGUAUCGCAAGGAGAGUUAAAAGUCUUUCCUUUGUCACCGAUGUUCGAUGAAAGAUAGGAUAAUAUGUCGCCAAAUAUCGAUCAAAAUUCAUGACCAAAAGAGCGAGUAAAGAAAAACCAACGAAAAUAUUUGACAAGCUUAAGGAAAUAUACAUCCAGUUCGGGUAUACAUUAAACUCUUCAGUCAACCAUGACAUUGCGAAAAGAGCCAACAAUGGAUGAUUAACUAUAGCUAAAACCGCAAGCAAAUCGCAACAG
Molecule: non-coding RNA, 730 nt
Organism: Paramuricea clavata
Lineage: Eukaryota; Metazoa; Cnidaria; Anthozoa; Malacalcyonacea; Plexauridae
Source: the annotation of a GenBank genome assembly